This 324-nucleotide ribosomal RNA is filed under the name uncultured bacterium. RNAcentral describes it as "bacterial SSU rRNA". It matches the Rfam family "Bacterial small subunit ribosomal RNA", at positions 72 to 422 of the family's 1533-position model. The record is from RNAcentral.
GACCUUCGGGUCUAGUGGCGCACGGGUGCGUAACGCGUGGGAAUCUGCCCUUGGGUUCGGGAUAACAGUUGGAAACGACUGCUAAUACCGGAUGAUGUCUUCGGACCAAAGAUUUAUCGCCCAAGGAUGAGCCCGCGUAGGAUUAGCUUGUUGGUGAGGUAAGAGCUCACCAAGGCGACGAUCCUUAGCUGGUCUGAGAGGAUGAUCAGCCACACUGGGACUGAGACACGGCCCAGACUCCUACGGGAGGCAGCAGUGGGGAAUAUUGAACAAUGGGCGAAAGCCUGAUCCAGCAAUGCCGCGUGAGUGAUGAAGGCCUUAGGG